UUAAAAAUGAUAAUGGAAAAAAGUAAUUUGGUAUAAUCUAAAAGAGAGAACAAAUACCCGAGGCUGAAAGUAUUUGUCUAGAAGACCAAAUGAACAUUCACUUCCGUAGUUGACUUUGGAAUUUACGUUAGGUAAUGAAAAAAGAUCCGGUAUACGCCGUUAUGUAAAUGAAGUGUAGAUUUAAGCUUGGUUUAAAUCUAAACAAGGGUGGUACCGCGAUAUGUAGCCUCGUCCCUUUU
Molecule: non-coding RNA, 239 nt
Filed under: Carnobacterium iners
Lineage: Bacteria; Bacillati; Bacillota; Bacilli; Lactobacillales; Carnobacteriaceae
Description: T-box sequence
Rfam family: T-box leader
About the family: Uncharged tRNA acts as the effector for transcription antitermination of genes in the T-box leader family. T-boxes are found upstream of many aminoacyl-tRNA synthetase genes and some amino acid biosynthetic genes usually in Gram-positive bacteria.
Source: RNAcentral